Long non-coding RNA from Suricata suricatta (meerkat), 541 nucleotides. RefSeq lists it as uncharacterized. The transcript has 3 exons. The record is from RefSeq and is a predicted model, not a curated record. Lineage: Eukaryota; Metazoa; Chordata; Mammalia; Carnivora; Herpestidae.
UGCGCGGUGUGCGGAGGGCCGCGCUUGCUCCCGGCUGCCAGUCAUCACAGUGGGAGCCCUGAGCCACGCUGUGGCACCACUUUGGCACCCAGCAUGUGCUCAGUAGGCCACGUGGAUGGCACCCGCAGCGUGUCCCUGAACUGUGCUCCACAAAACUGUUCCGAAGUUACAACAGCCUUGCCUUUCCUGUUGGAAACAAUAAAGGUUCUGGCCUGUGCCUUCCCUUCGCUGCUUCUGCCUCCUGACCCAAACUGGCGCUACCCCAUGUGGACUUUGCGGCAUGACGUGCUCCCUUGUUUUGUGAAAUAAACUACUCAUGGAUAUCCUAGGCUGAAUUCAGGAGAAAAUCAUGGAUUGCCAGAACUUGCAAGUUAAUAUGAUCCAGACUUACAGGAUUUUCAUUCUAUUGUACCAAAAUUGUUUCUAUUCAGUAAGGCCAAUAUGGGACAUUCAAUGAAGAUAAUGCUAUACCAUACUGGUUGCAAAGUUAUAAACAUUUUUUAAGGAUUUUUUUAAAUUUUGGAGGGUGCCUGGGUGGCUC